This 270-nucleotide long non-coding RNA is filed under the name Homo sapiens (human). RNAcentral describes it as "non-protein coding lnc-TLR5-1:2". The record is from RNAcentral. Lineage: Eukaryota; Metazoa; Chordata; Mammalia; Primates; Hominidae.
CCUGACUGGGCUGACAACGGAGGACGAGAGAGCUUGGGUGUGGAUGGGAAAAUAACUAGAAACUUCCCUUGAUCUCUCAGCAUUCUGUUCCAUCCCUGUCACUUCGAUGUCUCUCUUUCUUGAAUAUGGAAGCAGCCCUGGGCCCAGCUGCUGCAGGUGGCCAGGAAGGAGCCUGGGAGGAUGACGGGGUUCCUGAUCUGAUAGAACUGGGCUGUGACUAGGCAGAACCCUGUUCCACCACACACACCCCAGUGGAGGACGUUCUGUAUC